Molecule: ribosomal RNA, 211 nt
Filed under: uncultured fungus
Lineage: Eukaryota; Fungi
Description: partial 18S rRNA
Rfam family: Eukaryotic small subunit ribosomal RNA
Source: RNAcentral
CUGUGAUGCCCUUAGAUGUUCUGGGCCGCACGCGCGCUACAAUGAUGAAUUCAACAAGUCUAUAACCUUGGUUGAAAAGCCUGGGUAAUCUUUUGAACUUUCGUCGUGAUGGGGCUAGACCCUUGCAAUUAUUGGUCUCCAACGAGGAAUUCCUAGUAAACGCAAGUCAUCAGCUUGCAUUGAUUACGUCCCUGCCCUUUGUACACACCGC